CUAGAACAAUAGAGAAUCACAGCCCUGGGCUGUCUUUGCCUGACUGCUCCUGCUGUCUCUUCCUUCCCACUAGCUCCAUAGAUGGUGCUUUCUUUUCCUGUCCAGCCCAUGCCAGGAAGCAUCAGUGCUCCAUCUUCCACCACUGUCAUCAGGACACAAGAGAAAGCCUUGGUUCAUACCUCUACAUGGAUGAGUCAAAACCUAGACUUCAAGUGCAACUUCUCUGAGCACCAGACAGACACUCUCUACAGCCUGGGGAAUUUCUCAGGUGGGCUGUCCAGAAGGUUUCCCAGACAAUGGGAAUUUUUAAUAAGGAGCUCCCUGGAGAUGGGGGUGGGGUGAGGAAAAGGAGGAGAAAAGAAUCCAGGUACCUGAGGGGUACUGUAGACAUUAAACCAAUUUACUCUUUUUUCUGUUUAACUUGAGGGGUGAUUCAGGGGGCUCAAGGAAUUGUGAGCUUGUUUUGAAGAAAAAAAGGAUAUCUUUGGGGAGGUUGUGAUCACCAAAUGGCCAGCUCUGAGCAGCCCUGGAAGCCCGGAAGUCAGAUUCCUCAGGGGUCUAUUGGGGGCGACCCAAUUGUUUCCCUGAAGCUCCUCCUGCCAAGUCUCUCAUUCCAUAAAACCUCCCUGUUUCUGUUCUUAUGGAGGUGGAUUUGAGGGAAACCAGGCUCCCACAGAUUCUUUUUGACAAUUUGAGUAAAUAUUUCUCCACUUCUAACCACCAAAGUCUCAGUGUUGGCUUCCUGUGCAUCGGGCACAGAAACUUGAGAUUAAGAGGUUCGGUAUCAAUUUUGGCAAGCCAGUCAGGAGUCUUGUGCCCAUGGCUGGAUGGCCCUUGUGAGGGUUUCAGUGGUUGGUGGUCCCCAGGGGCUGGGGGGAAGUCUUUGCCUGGGGGCUUCCCUUGCUGUUCCUCCCUUCCUGCCAGUGUCUGCUGCCCUAGGCACAAUUCUCCCUUGGAGUGGAGAAACAUGUUGGACUUCAGUCUUUGUGUGUGAGUGUGCUUUUGUCUUGUAUACGAGUCUGUUGUCAGUUGAGUUGCUGUGACACGUGCAGUGGUGAAUCUCCUGUCUCUCUAUUUGCAUUCUGUGUGAAUGAUUCAUUGGAAAGGAGGGUCUCUCAUUUGGGAGAGAUCCAGGGGAUGUGUGUCGGACUUCAUCAUCUAUUUUUGUCCUGCAGGAAUUGGUUUUGCCUGUCAGGUGAGUGACCAUGAGAAGUGCGGUCAUGAAUACCCCAUCUUUCCAUUUGCAUCUGUGUGAGAAGUGGGCCCCUCAUUUUGGAGAGAUCCAGGGGAGUGUUGGACCUCACCUUGUGUUUUGUCCUGCUGGAGUCUGUUUGCCAUUUGCUCAGUGAGUCAAUACAGCACUCCCAGUCAUCAGUCUCUGUAUCUCUAUUUGCAUUUUGAAUGUGUGAAAGCAGGGACCCUCAUUUGGAAGAGAUCCAGGGCAUUGUUAGACUUCACCUUUUGUUUUUGACCUGCAGGAGUAGGAUUUGUCUUUGUGUGGGUGCGUUUGUCUUGUGUGUGUGUACGUGUAUUUGUUGGGUUCACUAAAAUGAAAAUGUCCUCAGAGAUAUUGGUAGUGGUGGUGGUCACAGGGGUAGGCAGCACACAUUGGAAGGCAGUGAGGAGGAUGGAGUGGGGCAUCCCCAUGCUCCCUGCUCCUUCAUGGCAGCAGCGGUGGCCCCAACAGCAGUAGUGAUGGUCAUGGUGUCCUGAUGGCAGAUGGGCUCCUUUUUGCUCAACCCAGCCUGGCUCGGCCCAGGGGUCAUGAGCAGUGGCAGUGGCAGCAGUGGCAGGAGAGGCUGGGUGCCCAGUCACUUUCCUGUGGGAUGGCUGGAGACAGAAAAAAUAAGUCCCUGGGUCAAAAUUUCACGGGCCUAAUGCGAAGGCUGUGCUGGGGACUAACCCUGAGUGGAAUCACAAUAACCCUGAUGAUCAAGAAAAGCUAGAAUAUUUUGGGAGUCUGCUUUUGAAAGCCACACAUGUAGUAAGCCAGCCAUCUAUUAACUGGUCUAAAUUAGGAGAGGUCCAGCAAGGCCCUGAGGACAACCCUUCUGCCUUUUUCUCCCAGAGGCUGUGGGACUGCCUUAUACUAUAUACCCUGAGGCCCAGGGAAGUACAGUUAAUACCUAUUGUUGGGGUCCAGGAAAGGCCACCCCAAAAUAUGCCACAAUGACUUAUUGAUUAUUUUGAUUUAAAGUUACUUGUGGAGCAAAAAGGGCUUUCUGUGCCUACUGUCUCUUCUCCUGAAAGCAGGAAAUGAAUCUCCCAUGAGAAAGGUGUUCUCCCUGCAUCCUUAUCACCAGAGCUAGGGGAUUGAGGGCCGAGAAGCCUGCAUAAACAAACCUUACUAAUUUACUGUUUCAUGCUAAAUUCCCCACUAUUUACAUGCUCCACACCUAAGUUUCUUUGCUCUGUCGAUUUUCAACAAUUUUAUGUUUCUUGGUGUAAAAGAUAUAUAUACUGCCUGUUUUGUUCACUCUCUGAGCAACGUUUCUUUAUGGUCUCCAAAAGGUAUGCAUUAAACUGGAUUUUUCUUCUGUUAACCUGGUCUUAUGUCAGUUUUACUAUUAAUCUGGCCAUAGGAACCUAAGAAGGGAAGAAAAGGGAUUUUCCCUGUCCUGACACUAUGUCAUAUCUUAAGGCGCUCCAGAUAUCCAUGGGGAAACUCCAAAAGUUGGCUAUAGUUCCUGAUGACAUAAAAGAGGUAUCAGGAAAAGGAGAGACCAAAAGAUUUCUGGAGCCCUUGACCUGUGAAAUAGGAUCUCAACAAGAGGCAUUCUUUUCUGUAUGUACCAGACUGUCCUGUUCCCCCUCUAGAGAGGGACAUGCUAUCUAAGUUAGGGGUCCUAAUAUGCUGGAACAAGAUAGAGGUCCAAGCCCCUAAAAGUUGGGGAAUUGAGCUCAUGGCCUUAUUGGAAGAUACACCAGUGCCUGAUAGAGAAGAGGUUCCCCUAUCAUUGGCCCUGGUGAAACAGUACCCCUUGAAGCCAGAAGACAUAAGAGGACUCCCUCCCUUUAAUCAAUACACUUUUAGAACAGGGAUUGAUCAGGAGAUUCCCAUGGAACACACCCAUUUCAGCCAUUAAAAGGCUGGAAACAAGGGAAUAUAGAUUUGUUGAAGGCAUUAUGGCUGUCAAUGCUAUACAGUGCCAGAUUCAAAAGAUGCUUUUGGAUCCUCAACCCCUCCCACCACCAAGUGAUGUCUGGUCACCAUUCCUUGCCUUCAGCAGGGAAUUCUGAGGUUGGUGUGAUAUUGUGAUUUAUAGUAAAAAAAAAAAAAUACCCUCAUUUCAUUUCUGGCACAGAGCUCCUAAAACCCUUGUAAUUUCUGAUAUAAGAGCCAUGGGGCAUCUUUUGUUAUAACAAUUACUUUUGUCCUCAGUUCCUGAAAUAACUGCAGGUUAAUAAUGGUAACAUUGGUGUCUUUUGUUAUCCAGAAGAAGUCCCUGUCAACCACACCUGAACUUAUGUAAAUAAGAUGACUUUUGGAAAGCCCUUAAGGGUGGGGGCUGUUAGCCAGGGGAACCAAUUGUGUGAUUAGAGGGUUGGAAAUUUCAGCCCCAUGCCCCUCCUUAUACCUCUGAGGUGGGGAGAGGGGCUCAGGAUUGAGUUCAAUAUGGAGUUCAGGGAGCUUCUGAGUUGCAAACAUGGGAGACUCAGGGAGACUGGCACACUCAGAGAGAGCUUGGGAACUCCACAUCCCUCUCUCACAUAUCGUGCUCGAUGCAUCUCUUUGGUCUGGCUGUUAAGUAAAAUGUUUUCCUGAGUUCUGUGAGCUGCUCUAUAAAAAUAGUUUAAUGAAAUCCAAAGGAGGGUGUUCAUGGAAACCUCUGGUCUGUGGCAGUUUGGUCAGAAGGAUGGGUGACAACCUGGACUUGCAAUCGGCAUCUAAAAUGGAAGGCAAGGGGUAAUCUUGUAGGAUCUGAUGCUAUCUCUAGGUAGAUAGUGUCACAAAUAGUGACAAAUACUGUUAAAUACUUAGGUUUUGAACUGUCAGAAGCCCAGAGAAUCCUGCUCCCAGACAGGAGAGAAGCAAUCACUUGAGUUGGAACUCCUACUACCCAUCAAUAAUUGUGGGGAUGUUUUUUAGGAAUGUCAGGCUUCUGUCAAAUUUGGAUAGUCAGCUUUAGAUUAAUGUUGAAAUCUCUAUUUGAGGACUUAAUGGGAGGAGACCUCGAACCUUUGAUGUGGACAUGAGAGUGCCGGAAUUUGUUUGUCAGGGAAGUGGGAGAAUUCCCCCUGACUUUUACUUAGGGUUCUUACGGCUGGUAAAAUAACUAAAAAGGAAGGUGAGCAGGAGAAAAAUCAAACAAAGUUUAAUAGCAUGUAUACAUGGGAGAAACCCAGGAGAAACUGAGUAACUCAGCCAACUGAGUUAAAGAGGCUGAGGCUGCCUGUUUAAAUAUCUUAAGCUACAGAUAAGGACGAUAUUUGGGGUAGUGAUUUGGGGCUUCAAAGGAGAGGAAGACAACUCACAUGGAAAUGGAAAAGUAAAUGGUAAAUAAGACUUUGAUAACAGUGGGCCUAGCAAGGAUCUUUCCAGUCUACCAAAACCCAGAGCUAACUAUGGUGAUGGACAGGCCUUCAUUUUAAAUUUCUUUUAGGCAGUUGGGGGGAAAUGUCGAAUGUUCUUCCUGAGUUUGAGCCUUUAUUGUCUUCAGAUUGAAAUAAUCCUCAUACCAGAAUGACACAUCUUGGGACGGCCUGCCCUGAACCCCAUCAAGUACAAUCAAGUUAAAGAAAAAUUAUUUAACUGCCCCAGCCUUGGGACUCCCAGAUUUGAGAAAGCCCUUUGAUUUCUUUGUAAAGGAAAAACAGGGCCUCUGUCUGUGACUCCUGACUCAGAACCUUGGACUCACCAGGAGGCCUGUGGCCUAUUUUACUAAGCAGUCAGAUCAGAUGGUCAAAGGAUAGCUGUCUUGCCUCUGAGCCAUUGCCACCAUCUGUAACAUAGUACAAGAAGCUGAAAAAUUCACAUUGGCACAGGCCACAAUGGCGCACACUCCCCAUUGUGUCCUCCCUCUAUGAGUCCUCUAAGAAAAGAACAGAAUGGAGGAUCUUGGCUAACCUCAGGAUCAGCCUACUUUAUGAGACAACCCAGAAGUAAAGUUAAAUGCUAUUUCUACCUUAAAACCUGCAACACUUCUACCUACUGAGUCAACAAGACCCCUUUCAUGAUGAGUGACUUCAGAUCAUUGAACAGGUAUUCUAGAGUUGACCUGAUUUGACUGUCCAACUGUUGGAGCAGUUGGACUUGGGACUGUUCACUGAUGGAAGCAGCUUCUUGGAUGAGGGCAACAUCAAGCAGGGCAUGUAGUUGUCACCCUUCAGGACACCAUGGAAGCAAAGGCUUUGCCUCCAGGUGUUUCAUCUCAGGAGGCUGAGCUAAUAGCCCUAAAUAAAGUUCUUCAAAUAGGUAAAGACACAAGAGCACAGACUCAAAAUAUGCCUUUUUAGUGGUCCAUGCCCCUGGGGCCAUAUGGAAAGAGAGGGGUCUCUUGACUGUUGGAAAGAGGGACAUAAAAUAUUCCCAGGAAAUAUUGACCUUAUUAGAGGCUAUUAAUGACCCAUGGCAGUAGCCAUCAUGUACUGCCCUCCACAUCAGAAAGGGGACACUUUGGAAGCCCGACGUAAUCAACUGGCUGAUCAGGCAGUGAAGACUGCUGUUAGCACUAUGAGUUUCAGGGCACUCUUGGGUCCCUUAGUUCCCCAAAUUGACAUUGCUAAAUUCCAGCAUAGCUACACACAGAAAGAUUUAGAGAGAGCCAGAGCAUGGAGAUUUGACUCCUCAUCUGUGGAGUAUCCAGGAUAUAAAUGUAAGUCAGAAAGACUCAUCUUGGUAUCUGAAGCCCUUCUGGGAGAAAGUGUGAAUCAAAUGCAUCAGAGCACUCACUAUGGAAAGGAGGCCACCUUGCAGUGGAUCAAGGAGGUGGUUUGUUCUAACUUGCAAAGAAACAUUCAGAAAGUUACUAAAAAUGUGUGAUCUGUGCCAAAAACAAUCCCAGGACAGGGCUGCUCUCCUUGAAUAAUGGGGUUCAACAUUCACGAGUUUUCCCCUGUGAGGACUUGCAACUGGAAUUUAACAUGAUGCCUUGAGCCUCUAGGAAAGCCAAGUAACUAGAGUACUCAUAGACACCUUCACAGUGUGGGUUGAAGUAUUCCCGUCCAAAACAGGGAGGGACACCAAAGUGACCAAGGAUUCCCAAAAGGAGAUCAUUCCAGGGACAAAAUUCCACUGUCAAUCCAGAACGACAACAGCACUGAAUUUAUCUAAAUCAUUCUGGCAUGGACCACUGUGCUUAAGGGGAAGAUGGAGGCAUUUGGAGUGAGCAGGGUUGGAAAGACGCAAAUGUGGCAGAAGGAGAAGUUCUACAGGGGUGAGAUGAGGGAUGGAAAGAAAUGGCAUUACAGCCGCCUUUGUAGGAGACGUUCCCGGUCAGCUGUAAGAGCAUGGUGCAAAGCGAGUUCUUUCUCAGCUUGACAAAGAGCUGCAAGCAAGAUGGUUUGUGGCCUGUCUCCCUUUCAGGAAUCAAGGCAGUGCUUUGUGCCUUCCAUCUCUAGAGCACUGUCCGAGACAGCUGAGAGUAGAAGCUCUAAUUCAGCAAGAUCAGGGCUAGAAAGAAACUGCGUCUCACAGGCCUUUGUAAGAGAUGUUCCCAGGAGGCUGUAAGAGCACUGUGGAGAUUGAGUUGUUUAUCAGCUUACCAAAGAGCUGGAAGCAAGACCAUUUGUGGCUUGUCUUCCUUUGAGGGACUGAGUCAGUGCUUUGUGACUUCCACCUCUAGGGCAAUGGAGGACAUGGCUUUGAGCAGAAGUUCUACGGUGGUGAGAUCAGGGCUGGAAAUAAACUGCGUUUCAGGCCUUUGUAUGACGGGUUCCCGGUAGGCUGUAAGAGCACUGUGGAAAGCGAGUUCUUUCUCAGCUUGCCAAAGAGCUGGAAGCAAGACGGCUUGUGGCCUGUCUCCCCUUGAGGAAACAAGGCAGGACUUUGUGCCUUGCAUGCCUACAGCAAUGUAGGACACGGCAAAGCAGAGGUUCUACUUCAGCGACAUCAGGUCUGGAAAGAAACUGCGUUCCACAGGCCUUUGUAAGAGAUGUUACCGGGAGGCUGUAAGAGCCCUGUGGAGAGCGAGUUGUUUCUUACCUUCCGAAAGACCUGGAAGAAAGACCAUUUGAGGCUUGUUUCCCUUUGAGGCACUGAUUCAGUUCUUUGUUCCUUCCACCUGUAGGGCAAUGGAGGACAUGGCUCAGAGCAGAAGUUCUAAGAAUGCUAGAUCAGGGCUGGAAACUAACUGCCUUUCAGGCCUUUGUAUGACAGGUGCCCUGCAGGCAUUAAGAGCACUGUGGAAAGCAAUUUCUUUCUCGGCUUGCCAAAGAGAUGGAAGCAAGAUGGUUUGUGGCCGCUCUCCCUUUGGAGAAAAGAGGCAGUUCCUUUUCCCUUCCACCCCUAGGAAAGUGCAUGACACGGCAGAGGAGAAGUUCUAAUUCAGUGAGAUCAGGGCUGGAAAGAAACUGCAUUUCACAGACAUUUGUAAGACAUGUUCCCAGGACGCUGUAAGAGCACUGUGGAGAGCGAGCUGUUUCUUAGCUUCCCAAAGAGCUGGAAGUAAGAUCAUUUGUGGCUUGUCUCCUUUUGAGGCACUCACUCAGUGGUUUGUGCCUUGCACCUCUAGAGCAAUGGAGGACAUGGCUUAGAGCAGAAGCUCUAAGGCGACGAGAUCAGGGCUGGAAACAAACUGCAUUUCAGGCCUUUAUAUGACAGGUUCCUGGUAGUCUGUAAGAGCACUGAGGAAAGCGAGUUCUUUCUCGGCUUGCCAAAGAGCUGGAAGCAAGACGGUUUGGGUCCUGUCUCCCCUUGAGGAGACAAGGCAGGACUUUGUCCCUUGCAGCUCUAGGGCCAUGUAGGACACAGCAGAGCAGAAGUUCUACUACAGCGAGAUCAGGCCUGGGAAGAAACUGCAUUUCACAGCCCUUUGUAAGAGAUGUUCCCGGUAGGCUGUAAGAGCACUGCGGAGAGCGAGUUGUUUCUUAGCUGCCCAGAGAGCUGGAACCGGCACGCUGAGGGACUUGUCCCCCAUUGUGGAAACAAGGCAGGACUUUCUGCCUUGCAGCUCUUGGGCCAUGUAGGACACGGCAGAGCAGAAGUUCUACUUCAGUGAGAUCAGGCCUGGGAAGAAAUUGCGUCUCACAGGCCUUUGUAAGACACGUUCCCGGUAGGCUUUAAGAGCCCUGUGCAGAGCGAGUUGUUUCUUAGACUGCAAAAGAGCUGGAAGCCGGACGCUGUGGGGCCUGUCUGCCCUUGAAGACACAGCAGAGGACUUUGUCCCUUUCAGCUCUGGCCCAUGUAGGACACGGCAGAGCAGAAGUUCUACUUCAGUGAGAUCAGGCCUGGGAAGAAAUUGCGUCUCACAGGCCUUUGUAAGACACGUUCCCGGUAGGCUUUAAGAGCCCUGUGCAGAGCGAGUUGUUUGUUAGACUGCAAAAGAGCUGGAAGCCGGACGCUGUGGGGCCUGUCUGCCCUUGAGGACACAAGACAGGACUUUGUCCCUUUUAGCUCUAGGCCCAUGUAGGACACGGCAGAGCAGAAGUUCUACUUCACCGAGAUCAGGCCUGGGAAGAAACUGCGUUUCACAGGCCUUUGUAGGACAUGUUCCCAGUAGGCUGUAAAACACCAGUGCAGAGCGAGCAGUUUCUUAGCUGCCCAAAGAGAUGGAAGCCUGACGCUGUGGGGCCUCUCUGCCCUUGAGGACACAAGGCUGGACUUUCUCCCUUUGAGCUCUAGGCCCAUGUAGGACACGGCAGAGCUGAACUUCUGCUUCAGCGAGAUCAGGCCUGGGAAGAAACUGCGUUUCGCAGGCCUUUCUCAACAUGUUCCUGGUAGGCUUGUAGGAGCCCUGUGCAGAGCGAGUUGUUUCUUAGCUGCCCAAAGAGCUGGAAGCCGGACGCUGAGGGACUUGCCUCCCCUUGUGGAAACAAGGCAGGACUUUGUGAAUUGCAGCUCUAGGGUCAAAUAGGACACGGCAGAGCAGAAGUUCUACUUCAGCGAGAUCAGGCCUGGGAAGAAACUGCGUCUCACAGGCCUUUGUAAGACAUGUUCCCGGUAGGCUUUAAGAGCCCUGUGCAGAGCGAGUUGUUUCUUAGACUGCAAAAGAGCUGGAAGCCGGACGCUGUGGGGCCUGUCUGCCCUUGAAGACACAAGACAGGACUUUGUCCCUUUCAGCUCUAGGCCCAUGUAGGACACGGCAGAGCAGAAGUUCUACUUCAGCGAGAUCAGGCCUGGGAAGAAACUGCGUCUCACAGGCCUUUGUAAGACAUGUUCCCGGUAGGCUUUAGGAGCCCUGUGCAGAGCGAGUUGUUUCUUAGCCUUCCAAAGAGCUGGAAGCCGGAUGCUGUGGGACCAGUCUGCCCUUGAGGACACAAGACAGGACUUUGUCCCUUUCAGCUCUAGGCCCAUGCAGGACACGGCAGAGCAGAAGUUCUACUUCAGCGAGAUCAGGUCUGGGAAGAAACUGCGUUUCACAGGCCUUUGUAAGACAUGUUCCCGGUAGGCUGUAAAAGCGU
Long non-coding RNA from Equus caballus (horse), 9561 nucleotides. NCBI's taxonomy places the organism in Eukaryota, Metazoa, Chordata, Mammalia, Perissodactyla, Equidae. The record is from Ensembl.